Molecule: ribosomal RNA, 531 nt
Filed under: fungal sp.
Lineage: Eukaryota; Fungi
Description: eukaryotic LSU rRNA
Rfam family: 5.8S ribosomal RNA (bases 166-319)
Source: RNAcentral
CUGGGUCCCUUGAGGCGGGCUGGACCUCUCGGGGUUACAGCCUUGCUGAAUUAUUCACCCUUGUCUUUUGCGUACUUCUUGUUUCCUUGGUGGGUUCGCCCACCACUAGGACAAACAUAAACCUUUUGUAAUUGCAAUCAGCGUCAGUAACAAAUUAAUAAUUACAACUUUCAACAACGGAUCUCUUGGUUCUGGCAUCGAUGAAGAACGCAGCGAAAUGCGAUAAGUAGUGUGAAUUGCAGAAUUCAGUGAAUCAUCGAAUCUUUGAACGCACAUUGCGCCCUUUGGUAUUCCAAAGGGCAUGCCUGUUCGAGCGUCAUUUGUACCCUCAAGCUUUGCUUGGUGUUGGGCGUCUUGUCUCUAGCUUUGCUGGAGACUCGCCUUAAAGUAAUUGGCAGCCGGCCUACUGGUUUCGGAGCGCAGCACAAGUCGCACUCUCUAUCAGCAAAGGUCUAGCAUCCAUUAAGCCUUUUUUUCAACUUUUGACCUCGGAUCAGGUAGGGAUACCCGCUGAACUUAAGCAUAUCAAUA